UUAAAAUGAUUGUGUGCAAAUUUGUAACCGAACUCAAUGGGUCUGUCUCUUGGUGAGUGUGGAGCCAAAAAGCACAACCAAAGAUGAAUUGGGUGAAGAA
Non-coding RNA from Ceratotherium simum simum (southern white rhinoceros), 100 nucleotides. The record is from RefSeq and is a predicted model, not a curated record. Lineage: Eukaryota; Metazoa; Chordata; Mammalia; Perissodactyla; Rhinocerotidae.